This 220-nucleotide ribosomal RNA is filed under the name uncultured bacterium. RNAcentral describes it as "partial 16S ribosomal RNA". It matches the Rfam family "Bacterial small subunit ribosomal RNA", at positions 524 to 742 of the family's 1533-position model. The record is from RNAcentral.
AACGUAGGAGGCAAGCGUUAUCCGGAGUUACUGGGCGUAAAGAGUGCGUAGGCGGAUUGAUAAGUGGGUGGUGAAAGCGCCCGGCUAAACCGGGCGAGGUCCAUUCAGACUGUCAGUCUAGAGGCGGAUAGAGGGGUGCGGAAUUCCUGGUGUAGCGGUGAAAUGCGCAGAUAUCAGGAGGGAACACCGGUGGCGAAGGCGGGUCUCUGGGCCGUAACUG